RNAcentral lists this ribosomal RNA (524 nucleotides) under uncultured beta proteobacterium. RNAcentral describes it as "SSU rRNA". It matches the Rfam family "Bacterial small subunit ribosomal RNA", at positions 8 to 527 of the family's 1533-position model. Lineage: Bacteria; Pseudomonadati; Pseudomonadota; Betaproteobacteria. The record is from RNAcentral.
AGGGUUUGAUCAUGGCUCAGAUUGAACGCUGGCGGCAUGCCUUACACAUGCAAGUCGAACGGCAGCACGGGAGCAAUCCUGGUGGCGAGUGGCGAACGGGUGAGUAAUAUAUCGGAACGUGCCCAGUAGUGGGGGAUAGCCCGGCGAAAGCCGGAUUAAUACCGCAUACGACCUGAGGGUGAAAGCGGGGGAUCGCAAGACCUCGCGCUACUGGAGCGGCCGAUAUCAGAUUAGCUAGUUGGUGGGGUAAAGGCCUACCAAGGCAACGAUCUGUAGUUGGUCUGAGAGGACGACCAGCCACACUGGGACUGAGACACGGCCCAGACUCCUACGGGAGGCAGCAGUGGGGAAUUUUGGACAAUGGGCGCAAGCCUGAUCCAGCAAUGCCGCGUGCAGGAAGAAGGCCUUCGGGUUGUAAACUGCUUUUGUCAGGGAAGAAAUCUUCUGGGUUAAUACCCCGGGAGGAUGACGGUACCUGAAGAAUAAGCACCGGCUAACUACGUGCCAGCAGCCGCGGUAAUACG